AUGAAAAGUUACAAGUAAAGAAAUUUACUAGUCUUCCACAUAUGAAGUUACAGAUGCUCUGUGUGAAUUUCCUUAUUUUUGUAAUUUUCAACUCAGUUUAAGAUAUUAUUAACUUAUACCUUCAAUUCUAUACACAGAUCGUAAAACAAUAUUAGGGAAUAAUGCAUGGAUCACAUUGAUCAAUAAAAGAACAUUUUGUUUUCCCGAAAAUAAUAGAUAUGUAACUAUAUUCAAAAACUGUUAAUGUAUGUUCUAAUGUGUAAUGCACGAUGUAAUGCAUGAUGUUUCCUGUGUGCAAGAGCCAUAACUUAAAAAAGACGAAUAAAUGGAGGAACAUGAUUUCAUAAUAUAUCAGUUUGAAAUAUCUGUAAUCUGAAAUAUCUUCCCAUGAUGAGGCAGGAUUUUACUGACAUGAGGAACAGGAAACAAAAAAAAAGAUUUAAUUUAUAACAUUGUAUGUUACUCUUGUUAUGUUUUAAAAAUCUGUUUUUUGAAGUUGAACUAACGCAUGUACUCGUAAGUAAGAAAUGAAAUAUAUGUUUUAAACUUGACUGGAAAGAGGAAGAUUUCAGUGCAGCUCAGGCAAGUAAAAAAAAAAUGGACUUGAUGUAUUCACUCACUUGUUUGAUAGAACUUAAUUGAGAAAUUUAUGAGAAACAGUUACAAUCAUUAUCAAUUAAUCAUUCAGAAGUUGAAAUCGAACAACACAUUAGCUGCAUAGAAUAUACAAUAUAUACUUAUUUACACAACAAUGGUGGCACUAAACAAUCGACUUUGCAGGUUAUGUUUAUACUAACCUUUCGUAAAAUCCAGUCUUCAAUGAAAAACUGUUUGAAAUGUUAUUAUCAAAUUAUAUAAUUGAUUAAAAUCAUAUGUUAUAGAAUAAAGCUAAUUGAUACACAGUUAUAAAAACA
This is a long non-coding RNA of Pogonomyrmex barbatus (red harvester ant), 914 nucleotides long. The record is from RefSeq and is a predicted model, not a curated record. NCBI's taxonomy places the organism in Eukaryota, Metazoa, Arthropoda, Insecta, Hymenoptera, Formicidae.